Molecule: ribosomal RNA, 229 nt
Filed under: uncultured bacterium
Lineage: Bacteria
Description: partial 16S ribosomal RNA
Rfam family: Bacterial small subunit ribosomal RNA
Source: RNAcentral
UACGUAGGUGGCAAGCGUUGUCCGGAUUUACUGGGCGUAAAGGAUGCGUAGGCGGACAUUUAAGUCAGAUGUGAAAUACCCGAGCUUAACUUGGGUGCUGCAUUUGAAACUGGGUGUCUAGAGUGCAGGAGAGGUAAGUGGAAUUCCUAGUGUAGCGGUGAAAUGCAUAGAGAUUAGGAAGAACACCGGUGGGCGAAGGCGGUCAUCCUGGGUACUUGACUGACGACUG